Molecule: long non-coding RNA, 755 nt
Organism: Leopardus geoffroyi (Geoffroy's cat)
Lineage: Eukaryota; Metazoa; Chordata; Mammalia; Carnivora; Felidae
Exons: 3
Source: RefSeq, a predicted model, not a curated record
GGGAUUUUCGGAGGGGGGGGGGGGGGGGAGAAAGAAAAAAGCAGCUGUUAAAACAGUUGUUGUGCACCAGGGGAAGGGCCCUGCCUUCCUUCCACGCUGCCAAACUCCGUAAACAGUUGUCAUUUUCUUUCACUCGGUGUGGCCCUGCCAGCGGCUGAGUCCCCUGGUUUGGGGGGACGGAGGUGUCGGGCCAACUUCAAGUUUUAGUCCGAAUCGAGAACAAGAAAUGAUCCACAAUCAUCCCAAGUGCAUGGACAUAUGAAAGCAUGUACCUAGAAGACACGACCACCCUGUAGCCACCAACAAGCCCCUCCAGACGCAAAGACAAAUCCUCCUCUGGCUUCCUCUGAAUGAGCUGGGUCUGUUUAAGUCACAUAGGAUCCAUUCACCACAACCCUAAGAAGGCUGUUGCUGCAAUCAUAUGGAUGUCAGAAAGCUUAAGCAGCCAGAAUGGCCACUUCGUGUCUUGCCCGGCAACAUGACAGAGCUACUGAUUUCAAAAGAUCGAUUUUUGUGCGGAAGGAACAUACAGAAAGGGGCUUUCGAUGUAAAGACAGAAGAUUCUGCAUUUCCCAAGAAAAGGAAUUCCUGAAUUCCAAACCCGAGGCAGCAACCUGUUCAGAGGAAGUGUGUGGGUCUCUCAUAGACUGUGUUAAUCGAACUGUUAGAGUCUUUGUAAGUCAUCAAUAAAUGCAGAUAAAGACACCCACCCCUGUAAAAGUUACAAACGUCCAAUUUAUAUUUUCAGAAUGUCA